AGAGUUUGAUCAUGGCUCAGAACGUACGCUGGCGGCACGCCUAACACAUGCAAGUCGAACGAAGUAGCAAUACUUAGUGGCAGACGGGUGAGUAACAUGUAGGUAUCUGCCCUUUGGCCUGGAAUAACACGAGGAAACUUGUGCUAAUACCGGAUAAGUCUUUACGGAGAAAGCUUUAUGCACCAUUGGAUGAGCCUGCACUUGAUUAGUUUGUUGAUGGGGUAAUGGCCUACCAAGACUGUGAUCAAUAGCUGAUUUGAGAGGAUGAUCAGCCACAUUGGGACUGAGACACGGCCCAAACUCCUACGGGAGGCAGCAGUGGGGAAUCUUGCACAAUGGAGGAAACUCUGAUGCAGCGAUGCCGCGUGAGUGAAGAAGGCCCUUGGGUUGUAAAGCUCUUUCGUCGGGGAAGAAAAUGACUGUACCCGAAUAAGAAGGUCCGGCUAACUUCGUGCCAGCAGCCGCGGUAAUACGAAGGGACCUAGCGUAGUUCGGAAUUACUGGGCUUAAAGAGUUCGUAGGUGGUUGAAAAAGUUAGUGGUGAAAUCCCAGAGCUUAACUCUGGAACUGCCAUUAAAACUUUUCAGCUAGAGUAUGAUAGAGGAAAGCAGAAUUUCUAGUGUAGAGGUGAAAUUCGUAGAUAUUAGAAAGAAUACCAAUUGCGAAGGCAGCUUUCUGGAUCAUUACUGACACUGAGGAACGAAAGCAUGGGUAGCGAAGAGGAUU
Molecule: ribosomal RNA, 726 nt
Filed under: uncultured bacterium
Lineage: Bacteria
Description: bacterial SSU rRNA
Rfam family: Bacterial small subunit ribosomal RNA
Source: RNAcentral